RNAcentral lists this ribosomal RNA (380 nucleotides) under uncultured bacterium. Its description in RNAcentral is "bacterial SSU rRNA". It matches the Rfam family "Bacterial small subunit ribosomal RNA", at positions 47 to 423 of the family's 1533-position model. The record is from RNAcentral.
CCUAACACAUGCAAGUCGAACGGUAACAGGAAACAGCUUGCUGUUUCGCUGACGAGUGGCGGACGGGUGAGUAAUGUCUGGGAAACUGCCUGAUGGAGGGGGAUAACUACUGGAAACGGUAGCUAAUACCGCAUAACGUCGCAAGACCAAAGAGGGGGACCUUCGGGCCUCUUGCCAUCAGAUGUGCCCAGAUGGGAUUAGCUAGUAGGUGGGGUAACGGCUCACCUAGGCGACGAUCCCUAGCUGGUCUGAGAGGAUGACCAGCCACACUGGAACUGAGACACGGUCCAGACUCCUACGGGAGGCAGCAGUGGGGAAUAUUGCACAAUGGGCGCAAGCCUGAUGCAGCCAUGCCGCGUGUAUGAAGAAGGCCUUCGGGU